CCUGGUUGAUCCUGCCAGUAGUCAUAUGCUUGUCUCAAAGAUUAAGCCAUGCAUGUCUAAGUAUAAGCACUUUAUACUGUGAAACUGCGAAUGGCUCAUUAAAUCAGUUAUCGUUUAUUUGAUAGUACCUUACUACAUGGAUACCUGUGGUAAUUCUAGAGCUAAUACAUGCUGAAAACCUCGACUUCGGAAGGGGUGUAUUUAUUAGAUAAAAAACCAAUGCCCUUCGGGGCUCCUUGGUGAAUCAUAAUAACUUAACGAAUCGCAUGGCCUUGCGCCGGCGAUGGUUCAUUCAAAUUUCUGCCCUAUCAACUUUCGAUGGUAGGAUAGUGGCCUACCAUGGUGGCAACGGGUAACGGGGAAUUAGGGUUCGAUUCCGGAGAGGGAGCCUGAGAAACGGCUACCACAUCCAAGAAGGCAGCAGCGCGCAAAUUACCCAAUCCCGACACGGGGAGUAGUGACAUAAAUACUGAUACGGGCUCUUUUGGGUCUCGUAAUUGAUGAGUACAAUCUAAUUCCUUACGAGGACAUUGGAGGCAGUCUGUGCCAGCAGCCGGGUAUUCCAGCUCAAAGCGUAAUUAAGUUUUUGCAGUUAAAGGUCGUAUUUGACCUUGGUCUGGCUUGGCGGUCCCCUCACCGAGUAUUGUUCCCGCUGAACUUUCUUUGGGAAUCUCAGCCUCAUGGCGUGGGGGGUUGAUCCUGCCAGUAGUCAUAUGCUUGUCUCAAAGAUUAAGCCAUGCAUGUCUAAGUAUAAGCACUUUAUACUGUGAAACUGCGAAUGGCUCAUUAAAUCAGUUAUCGUUUAUUUGAUAGUACCUUACUACAUGGAUACCUGUGGUAAUUCUAGAGCUAAUACAUGCUGAAAACCUCGACUUCGGAAGGGGUGUAUUUAUUAGAUAAAAAACCAAUGCCCUUCGGGGCUCCUUGGUGAAUCAUAAUAACUUAACGAAUCGCAUGGCCUUGCGCCGGCGAUGGUUCAUUCAAAUUUCUGCCCUAUCAACUUUCGAUGGUAGGAUAGUGGCCUACCAUGGUGGCAACGGGUAACGGGGAAUUAGGGUUCGAUUCCGGAGAGGGAGCCUGAGAAACGGCUACCACAUCCAAGGAAGGCAGCAGGCGCGCAAAUUACCCAAUCCCGACACGGGGAGGUAGUGACAAUAAAUACUGAUACGGGGCUCUUUUGGGUCUCGUAAUUGGAAUGAGUACAAUCUAAAUCCCUUAACGAGGAACAAUUGGAGGGCAAGUCUGGUGCCAGCAGCCCGCGGUAAUUCCAGCUCCAAUAGCGUAUAUUAAAGUUGUUGCAGUUAAAAGCUCGUAGUUGAACCUUGGGUCUGGCUGGCCGGUCCGCCUCACCGCGAGUACUGGUCCGGCUGGACCUUUCCUUCUGGGGAAUCUCAUGGCCUUC
This 1402-nucleotide ribosomal RNA is filed under the name Aspergillus niger. Its description in RNAcentral is "bacterial SSU rRNA". The stretch from base 687 to 1402 matches the Rfam family "Eukaryotic small subunit ribosomal RNA", at positions 1 to 720 of the family's 1831-position model. The record is from RNAcentral. Lineage: Eukaryota; Fungi; Ascomycota; Eurotiomycetes; Eurotiales; Aspergillaceae.